UGAGAGAAAGAGAGUGUGAGACUGAGCGGUUGGGAGUAAUAAAAUAAAAUAAAGAACAACCCUAAUUCUCGAUCCUCGUCAUUGCCGUCAACUUGGAUCGGAGAGAGAUCGAUCACCUCGCCGGCGCCGGUAAGCCCCUUGGCCAAAAUUCGCCGUCUUUAACUUUCCUCAUUCCUGCCUUCUUCUAUCUCUUACCCUAAUUAAUGCCUAAUUUCCGGCUUUCUCCGAAAUUGCGUAAUUCCAUUUAAAACCUCUCUUGAUUUAAAUCUCAAAGUCGAUUGUGAUUUGGGGAGCGGAGUUGUCAGCUGAAGCUCGGGAGAAGGUAAAAUUUCUGAUUUUGCAAUAGAUAAAUUGUUUAAUCACCUAAUUUCCUCAAAGUUUAAAUUGUAUAUUGAAUUGGAGUUAAUUUGUUCUUAAUCCGGUAUUGGAUUCAAUUUCUACCAGAUUUCGCUGGUCAUGAUUUUAGAUGUCAUAUACUUUACUAGGAUUGAAUUUAUAUUGCUUUAUUUUGAGGUCUAAUGCUGAAAGUCUAAAGAUGGUACAAAGAUUUUUUGAGAAACUAUUCAGUUGCAAUUCAGUCGCGGCAUUUAGCUCUUAUUUGAAUGAAGUCAGUUGGUAACUUAAAAACUGGGAUUUAGCAUAUAUAUUAGUAAGAUUAACAUUUCCUUGGAUUUGUUGAAGUUAUGCUAUUGAUGCUCACAAUCUGAGCUGGUAGAAAUUGCUUUUGCACCAUGGAAUUUGUGUAAGGUUAGCAGAUCAUGUGGAACAUUCUUGUAGUAAAGUGAUUUUGGGAUAUGAGAGCGUCAGUUAUUCAUUUAUGAGAUGUAAGUAUUAAUGGCUGCCUACUCCAAGUGUUUAUGUGGUGUUAUUAUAUUUCUAAUUGUGGAUUGACUACAUUUAUGUACAUCUAUUCUUGAUUUUAGUAGAUCUACAAGCUUCAUUAGAUUUCCAGAUGUCCUGAAUAGAUUUCUUUUAGAUACAGAAGUUCUUACCUCUAAAAGUUGAUGUUCAAAUGGUUUUCAAUAAAGGAAAUUAUGUGAAAAUUUUAUUUUGUGUUUAUUUUCACGUGCUUCCCAGUUUUGCAAUAUUGGAUAUCUCAAAUUUUACUAUAUAUACAUAAUUCCUUUUUAAGAGUCUUUUCGGUUCAAAAUUUCUGAACAUCAUGAUAACUGCAAUGGAGGAUGUGAUUUGCUGUGUGUAAUGCUUUAAGAUAUUAAUAGCAAGGUUCAUGUUCUCGUUGUUGCUUUAUUAAAGAUAUGAUGAAAAGAAAGAUCUUUGUUAAACUUUUACUGUUCCUCAUUUUUAAUGUUAUUCCGUAUGUGAGGGGUAUGAUUUUAUAGAAAGAUAUAAGCUUUCAUGUAUGGCUAUGUAAUUACAAAUUCACAGCAUACUGGUGCAUUAUGACAUUAGUUGAAAAUAAUUUACAGCAUAAGCAACUCUGCGCUUUGUUUCAACUGACCAGCACUCCACUUCAAGCAUUGCAUUAAGCUCCACAAGGCCUUUGCAAUUUACUGUGCCUAGAUUCUUUAAUUUCUAUAAUAAGAAGUAGGAGUACAUACUCUCUAUUACAUUUCUGAUAUUUAAUCAGUUCUGUUUGCUGGUUAAGAUACUUCUCCUUUUUUGCCAUUGACCAUAAACUUGACCAUUGGUUGGAGUAGAAGUUUGCUUGUGGUAUCAGUAUGUGAUUUACCUUUUAGGGAGAUAAAGGUGAAAGAUGCCUAUCUUGUUGGUGUUAAUCUUACGUGGUAGCCUUUUUAGUACAGCUCUAGACAAAUAGCUGGUACUACUUAUUUUUUGAGACUUACAGAAUUAGUUGUUCAUAUGAUAGGUUAACAAAGCUUAAUCAGCUAAAAUUUGCUUGAUGACUAUAUGUUGCAUCUAAUGCAUUAUUUUAUGCCUAAGUGCCUUAUUUUCAAAGGGGCCCUACUGCCUAGAGCAUUCCACACCAAACAAAGAGAAAAGGAAGUGAUAAAAGGGAAAGAGAGGUAUGCGUCUUGUCAAAUGCAAUCAUGGAUUACAUGAUUAUACCUUGAAGUAUUGAGCGAGUAGCCUGGACAAGGAAUCUGGAGAUGCGGUUUCUGUUGACUAGUUCAUAUGAAUAGUCAUUACUCAUUUCUGUGUUAGACAUUUUGGUGAUGGAUGCAUUAUUAAGCAUGCUAGAAUCAAUAUGGUUGUGAACAAAUUAAGACUUGCUUUCCUUUUCUAAAAUUUGGCUCUGCAUUAUAUACAUCUAUUCAAGAGAAAAUCUAUGUUAUAUGGACUCCGGUAUUGGUGUCAGAUACAGGUGCAUGUUGAAGUGUCGGAUUCGCAUAUUUAAAAAUUAUAGGAUCCAGGGAUAUGUGACCAAUUUUAGGUAUGGGUGCAGGGGUGCGCUUCUUAAACUUGUAGAUGGAUAAGAUCUUUAGAAAUAAAAAAUAAUUAUUUUAUUUUUUAAAAAAAUAAUAUUUUUUCUUAAUAAAUAAU
RNAcentral lists this long non-coding RNA (2463 nucleotides) under Coffea arabica (coffee). RNAcentral's name for it is "long non-coding RNA (CARA_LNC003944)". The record is from RNAcentral. Lineage: Eukaryota; Viridiplantae; Streptophyta; Magnoliopsida; Gentianales; Rubiaceae.